RNAcentral lists this ribosomal RNA (502 nucleotides) under uncultured bacterium. RNAcentral's name for it is "partial 16S ribosomal RNA". It matches the Rfam family "Bacterial small subunit ribosomal RNA", at positions 28 to 507 of the family's 1533-position model. The record is from RNAcentral.
GACGAACGCUGGCGGCGUGCUUAACACAUGCAAGUCGAACGGUGAAGGGGUCUGCUUUUGUGGGCCCUGGAUGAGUGGCGAACGGGUGAGUAACACGUGAGUAACCUGCCCCCUUCUUCUGGAUAACCGCAUGAAAGUGCGGCUAAUACGGGAUAUUCUGGGUCUGUCGCAUGAUGGGUCUGGGAAAGAUUGCGCCUUUGGGUGUUUUUGGUGGGGGAUGGGCUCGCGGCCUAUCAGCUUGUUGGUGGGGUGAUGGCCUACCAAGGCGGUGACGGGUAGCCGGCAUGAGAGGGUGGACGGUCACACUGGGACUGAGACACGGCCCAGAAUCCUACGGGAGGCAGCAGUGGGGAAUAUUGCACAAUGGGCGCAAGCCUGAUGCAGCGACGCCGCGUGAGGGAUGGAGGCCUUCGGGUUGUAAACCUCUUUCGCCAGUGAAGCAGGCCUGCUCCUUGUGGGUGGGUUGACGGUAGCUGGAUAAGAAGCGCCGGCUAACUACGUG